This 978-nucleotide ribosomal RNA is filed under the name Leotiomycetes sp. genotype 215. RNAcentral's name for it is "eukaryotic LSU rRNA". The stretch from base 437 to 978 matches the Rfam family "Eukaryotic large subunit ribosomal RNA", at positions 1 to 546 of the family's 3401-position model. Lineage: Eukaryota; Fungi; Ascomycota; Leotiomycetes. The record is from RNAcentral.
AAGGAUAUCGCCCUCGGGCUUCUCUUCUCACCCUUUGUUUACCACACGUAGUUGCCUUGGCGCUCCGCGCCAGUGGAUCGAAACUCCUGAAUCAUUGCCGUCUGAGUACUAUUCAAUAGUUAAAACUUUCAACAACGGAUCUCUUGGUUCUGGCAUCGAUGAAGAACGCAGCGAAAUGCGAUAAGUAAUGUGAAUUGCAGAAUUCAGUGAAUCAUCGAAUCUUUGAACGCACAUUGCGCCCUCCGGUAUUCCGGGGGGCAUGCCUGUUCGAGCGUCAUUACAACCCUCAAGCUCUGCUUGGUGUUGAGCCCGCCCCGGCCUGCCCGGGGCUCGCUUCAAAGUCAGUGGCGGCCGCCGUCCGACCUUCAGCGCAGUAAUGCUCGCCGCUGUUAGGGAAGGGUAGCAAGGGCCGUCAUACAACCCCCACACACAAGGUUGACCUCGGAUCAGGUAGGGAUACCCGCUGAACUUAAGCAUAUCAAUAAGCGGAGGAAAAGAAACCAACAGGGAUUGCCUCAGUAACGGCGAGUGAAGCGGCAACAGCUCAAAUUUGAAAGCUGGCUCCUUCGGGGCCCGCGUUGUAAUUUGUAGAGGAUGCUUCGGGCGCGGCACCGGUCUAAGUUCUCUGGAACGAGACGUCAUAGAGGGUGAGAAUCCCGUAUGUGACUGGCUGCCUGUGCCCAUGUGAAGCUCCUUCGACGAGUCGAGUUGUUUGGGAAUGCAGCUCAAAAUGGGAGGUGUACUCCUUCUAAAGCUAAAUAUUGGCCAGAGACCGAUAGCGCACAAGUAGAGUGAUCGAAAGAUGAAAAGCACUUUGGAAAGAGAGUUAAACAGUACGUGAAAUUGUUGAAAGGGAAGCGCUUGCAAUCAGACUUGCGCGGCGUCGAUCAGCCUGGGUUCUCCCUGGUGCACUCGGCGCCGCUCAGGCCAGCAUCAGUUUCGGCGGUGGGAUAAAGGCCUAGGGAACGUGGGUCCCCU